AGGGAGUUUGAUCCUGGCUCAGGAUGAACGCUGGCGGCGUGCUUAACACAUGCAAGUCGAACGAAGCAACUUAUUACGAUCCCUUCGGGGUGACGAUUUGUUGACUGAGUGGCGGACGGGUGAGUAACGCGUGGGUAACCUGCCUUGUACAGGGGGACAACAGUUGGAAACGACUGCUAAUACCGCAUAAGCGCACAGCUUCGCAUGAAGCAGUGUGAAAAGUUAUUUCGGUACAAGAUGGACCCGCGUCUGAUUAGCUAGUUGGUGAGGUAACGGCCCACCAAGGCGACGAUCAGUAGCCGACCUGAGAGGGUGACCGGCCACAUUGGGACUGAGACACGGCCCAAACUCCUACGGGAGGCAGCAGUGGGGAAUAUUGCACAAUGGGCGAAAGCCUGAUGCAGCGACGCCGCGUGAGCGAAGAAGUAUUUCGGUAUGUAAAGCUCUAUCAGCAGGGAAGAUAAUGACGGUACCUGACUAAGAAGCACCGGCUAAAUACGUGCCAGCAGCCGCGGUAAUACGUAUGGUGCAAGCGUUAUCCGGAUUUACUGGGUGUAAAGGGAGCGUAGGCGGUUUUACAAGUCUGAUGUGAAAGCCCGGGGCUCAACUCCGGUAUUGCAUUGGAAACUGUAGAACUAGAGUGUCGGAGGGGUAAGUGGAAUUCCUAGUGUAGCGGUGAAAUGCGUAGAUAUUAGGAGGAACACCAGUGGCGAAGGCGGCUUACUGGACGAUUACUGACGCUGAGACGCGAAAGCGUGGGGAGCAAACAGGAUUAGAUACCCUGGUAGUCCCCU
This 794-nucleotide ribosomal RNA is filed under the name uncultured Bacillota bacterium. RNAcentral's name for it is "bacterial SSU rRNA". It matches the Rfam family "Bacterial small subunit ribosomal RNA", at positions 1 to 799 of the family's 1533-position model. The record is from RNAcentral. Lineage: Bacteria; Bacillati; Bacillota.